GUUAAAAAUUGUCUCGUAUAUUUAUAUUCAUAUGUUUUUGUUUAUUUUCUCAUUCACAACCAAGAACUGUAUUUCCUGAGAAGUGUACAUGUACGGUGAAUCAGAUCUUUAAGAAAUGUAAGUGUAUUUUAACAUAUAAAUGGAUGUUUUGAACGUUUAUUUUCGCGCAUGAUGAAAAUGAGACGACUUUAUUAUUUUACAGGUGUUCCGUUUCAAAAAGGCACGUACAUGAUAUUAAAUAUAAACUCAGUUAUCUAUUCUAUUCAAUCUGUACAAAAAGUCGUACAUGGUAAGAUAUAUCGAGUUGUUAUCAAUGUGUAUAAGUUAUACUAUGCCCUUGACUUAAUCCCUUUUACCGGUUAACAUGUAAGAAAAAUGAUUGAUUGCUGGUUUGAUGGUUGCUAAACGUCCAGCGGCAAAUAUAUAAUGCAUAUUAGGGAUAAGAAAGAAUUAGAUAUACAUACAAUAGGCAUGUAUUAAAGAAGAGCCCGUCUGGGAUGAAGGUAGAAAAAUAUUGAACUUGCACUGUAAAAUGAGGGUAUAUUUGGAACGGGAACCACAUUUAACCUUGCAAAAGGUCAAAUACGGACCGUCAUAGGUAUUUUGCAAGUAUUUAUGACGUACAAAGAACGUGAUAUUUUCUAUACACUUUUCAUCGGUUUUCAUGUCUCCGUUCUGAGCGGAAUUGGCUGCGAAAAUGAAGAUCCCGCACGGCGAACUGACGCUCCACUUAACCAAGGAUUUACUGCCGGUCGAGAGAAAAACAGUAAUGAUUGAUAUCUAUUACCAUGUCAUCCUAGGGGUAUGAGCAAAUUAGUAUCCCUACGUUACAGCUGAACUUUUUAUAAUAUUCAUUAUGUCUUGAGACAUGGAAAGAUGUCUUGAGACAUGGCAAAAUGUCUUGAGACAUGGCAAAAUGUCUUGAGACAUAGCAAAAUGUCUUGAGACAUAGCAAAAUGUCUUGAGACAUGGAAAAAUGUCUUAAGAUGUUUCGUUUUAGUUCAUUAUAUAAAUGCAUUUUCUACAUGGUUGAUUUCAGAUACACCAUUGACAAUGGCCAUGUCUUGAGACAUAUAGUUAAUAUACUAAGAUAUCAAAUUAAACUGUAAAUAUAUUUGCAAUGGGGCCGUCUAUUUGUUUUUCAAAGGUAAUAGCAUUCACAAACAUAUUAAAAUGGUUUCUGAUUGAAUUCAAAUGUUCAAGAGGUGAAGUUUUGUUUGACAAACAGAUUUACAGCUCAUGCAAUAAAGAGAUACGAAAAAAAAGUCUGGUACCCACACAACAUACUUAUAUGGCUAAUUUGGAGAUUAUGUUGAGAUAAAUAAAAUGGUGUACUUAAAUAUAUAUAGAUAAAUAUAUUAGGGAUAAGAAAGAAUUAGAUAUACAUACUAUAGGCAUGUAUUAAAGUAGAGGCCGUCUGGGAUGAAGGUAAAUAAAUCUGAACUUGCACUGUAAAAUGAGGGUAUAUUGGAACGGGAACCACAUUUAACCUUGCCAAAGGUCAAAUACGGACUCGUCAUAGAAAUUUUGCAAGUAUUUAUGACGUACAAAGAACGUAAUAUUCUCUAUACACUUUCCUCGGUUUUCAUGUCUCUGUUCUGACCGGAAAAUGAAGAUCCCGCACGGCGAACUGACACUCCAAUUAACUAAAGAUCUACUGUCGGUCGAGAGAAAAGCAGUGAUGAUUGAUAUCUAUUACCAUGUCAUCCUUGGGGGUAGGAACACAUUAGUAUCCCUAUGUUACAGCUGAACUUUUAUAAUAUUCCCUAUGUCUAGAGACAUGGAAAGAUGUCUUGAGACAUGGCAAAAUGUCUUGAGACAUGGCAAAAUGUCUUGAGACAUAGCAAAAUGUCUUGAGACAUGGAAAAAUGUCUUAAGAUGUUUCGUUUUAGUUCAUUAUAUAAAUGCAAUUUUCUGCAUGGUUGAUUUCAGAUACACCAUUGACAAUGGCCAUGUCUUGAGACAUAUAGUUAAUAUACUAAGAUAUCAAAUUAAACUGUAAAUAUAUUUGCAAUGGGGCCGUCUAUUUGUUUUUCAAAGGUAAUAGCAUUCACAAACAUAUUAAAAUGGUUUCUGAUUGAAUUCAAAUGUUCAAGAGGUGAAGUUUUGUUUGACAAACAGAUUUACAGCUCAUGCAAUAAAGAGAUACGAAAAAAAAGUCUGGUACCCACACAACAUACUUAUAUGGCUAAUUUGGAGAUUAUCAUUGAGCGAAAAAAAAAAUGAAGAUGGUGUAUAAAGUAUUAAUUAAAGACUCUAUGACAUAAAAAAAUACAGAUCAUACCUUGGAAGCAGUACGUAAACAAAACAAAAUAUCUAUGAAUUUGAUAUAUCUCCCCAUUAGAGGCGUGGUUUGUCAAACAGCUGUAUUUACAGGUUCAAUCUUUAGAUAGAAGAUAAAAUAUCGAUACAUUGUAGAUGUCUACGGACUGUUUCUUAUUGGUAUGUCAUAUUUGUAUUUUGAAGAAAACUAAGUCUUACAAAAAUGUUUUGACUUGAGACAGAACAUAAAUAUCUUGAGACUUUGUUGAUAUUUAAGAGUUUUGCUGAAUUGAUAUCAAUUUGUAUGUUGAAAUAAAAUACUAUAUAAAUAGAAAAAGACAGGAAAUUAUCAUUAUUAUUCUAUUUAUUUGAAGAUAUUUAUAAUGGUUAAAAAUUGUCUCGUAUAUUUAUAUUCAUAUGUUUUUGUUUAUUUUCUCACUCAAGGCCAAGAACUGUAUUUGCUGAGAAGUGUACAUGUACGGUGAAUCAGAUCUUUAAGAAAUGUAAGUGUAUUUUAACAUAUAAUGGAUGUUUUGAUCGUUCAUUUUUGCGCAUGAUGAAAAUGAGACGACUUUAUUAUUUUACAGGUGUUCCGUUUCAAAAAGGCACGUACAUGAUAUUAAAUAUAAACUCAGUUAUCUAUUCUAUUCAAUCUGUACAAAAAGUCGUACAUGGUAAGAUAUAUCGAGUUGUUAUCAAUGUGUAUAAGUUAUACUAUGCCCUUGACUUAAUCCCUUUUACCGGUUAACAUGUAAGAAAAAUGAUUGAUUGCUGGUUUGAUGGUUGCUAAACGUCCAGCGGCAAAUAUAUAAUGCAUAUUAGGGAUAAGAAAGAAUUAGAUAUACAUACAAUAGGCAUGUAUUAAAGAAGAGCCCGUCUGGGAUGAAGGUAGAAAAAUUUGAACUUGCACUGUAAAAUGAGGGUAUAUUGGAACGGGAACCACAUUUAACCUUGCAAAAGGUCAAAUACGGACCGUCAUAGGUAUUUUGCAAGUAUUUAUGACGUACAAAGAACGUGAUAUUCUCUAUACACUUUUCAUCGGUUUUCAUGUCUCCGUUCUGAGCGGAAUUGGCUGCGAAAAUGAAGAUCCCGCACGGCGAACUGACGCUCCACUUAACCAAAGAUUUACUGCCGGUCGAGAGAAAAACAGUAAUGAUUGAUAUGUAUUACCAUGUCAUCCUAGGGGUUAUGAGCAAAUUAGUAUCCCUACGUUACAGCUGAACUUUUAUAAUAUUCAUUAUGUCUUGAGACAUGGAAAGAUGUUGAGACAUGGCAAAAUGUCUUGAGACAUGGCAAAAUGUCUUGAGACAUAGCAAAAUGUCUUGAGACAUGUCUUGAGACAUGGCAAAAUGUCUUGAGACAUAGCAAAAUGUCUUGAGACAUAGCAAAAUGUCUUGAGACAUGGAAAAAUGUCUUAAGAUGUUUCGUUUUAGUUCAUUAUAUAAAUGCAUUUUUCUACAUGGUUGAUUUCAGAUACACCAUUGACAAUGGCCAUGUCUUGAGACAUAUAGUUAAUAUACUAAGAUAUCAAAUUAAACUGUAAAAGUAUUUGCAAUGGGGCCGUCUAUUUGUUUUUCAAUGGUAAUAGCAUUCACAAACAUAUUAAAAUGGUUUCUGAUUGAAUUCAAAUGUUCAAGAGGUGAAGUUUUGUUUGACAAACAGAUUUACAGCUCAUGCAAUAAACGAUACGAAAAAAAAGUCUGGUACCCACACAACAUACUUAUAUGGCUAAUUUGGAGAUUAUCGUUGAGCGAAAAAUAAAAUGUAGAUGGUGUAUAAGUUAUUAAUUAAAGACUCUAUGAUAUAAAAAAAUACAGAUCAUACCUUGGAAGCAGUACGUAAACAAAACAAAAUAUCUAUGAAUAUGAUAUAUCUCCCCAAAAGAGGCGUGGUUUGUCAAACAGCUGUAUAAAUUUACAGGUGAAAUCUUUAGAUAGAAGAUAAAAUAUCGACACAUUGUAGAUGUCUACGGACUGUUUUUUUUAUUGGUAUGUCAUAUUUGUAUUUUGAAGAAAACUAAGUCUUACAAAAAUGUUUUGCCUUGAGACAGAAAAUAAAUAUCUUGAUAUUUUUGUUGAUGUUUAAGAGUUUUGCUGUAAUUGGUAUCUAUUUGUAUGUUGAAAUAAAAUACUGUAUAAAUAGAAAACGACAGGAAAUUAUCAUUAUUAUUCUAUUUAUUUGAAGAUAUUUAUAAUGGUUAAAAAUUGUCUCGUAUAUUUAUAUUCAUAUGUUUUUGUUUAUUUUCUCACUCAUAGCCAAGAACUGUAUUUGCUGAGAAGUGUACAUGUACGGUGAAUCAGAUCUUUAAGAAAUGUAAGUGUAUUUUAACAUAUAAAUGGAUGUUUUGAUCGUUUAUUUUCGCGCAUGAUGAAAAUGAGACGACUUUAUUAUUUUACAGGUGUUCCGUUUCAAAAAGGCACGUACAUGAUAUUAAAUAUAAACUCAGUUAUCUAUUCUAUUCAAUCUGUACAAAAAGUCGUACAUGGUAAGAUAUAUCGAGUUGUUAUCAAUGUGUAUAAGUUAUACUAUGCCCUUGACUUAAUCCCUUUUACCGGUUAACAUGUAAGAAAAAUGAUUGAUUGCUGGUUUGAUGGUUGCUAAACGUCCAGCGGCAAAUAUAUAAUGCAUAUUAGGGAUAAGAAAGAAUUAGAUAUACAUACAAUAGGCAUGUAUUAAAGAAGAGCCCGUCUGGGAUGAAGGUAGAUAAAUCUGAACUUGCACUGUAAAAUGAGGGUAUAUUUGGAACGGGAACCACAUUUAACCUUGCAAAAGGUCAAAUACGGACCGUCAUAGGUAUUUUGCAAGUAUUUAUGACGUACAAAGAACGUGAUAUUCUCUAUACACUUUUCAUCGGUUUUCAUGUCUCCGUUCUGAGCGGAAUUGGCUGCGAAAAUGAAGAUCCCGCACGGCGAACUGACGCUCCACUUAACCAAGGAUUUACUGCCGGUCGAGAGAAAAACAGUAAUGAUUGAUAUCUAUUACCAUGUCAUCCUAGGGGUAUGAGCAAAUUAGUAUCCCUACGUUACAGCUGAACUUUUAUAAUAUUCAUUAUGUCUUGAGACAUGGAAAGAUGUCUUGAGACAUGGCAAAAUGUCUUGAGACAUGGCAAAAUGUCUUGAGACAUAGCAAAAUGUCUUGAGACAUAGCAAAAUGUCUUGAGACAUGGAAAAAUGUCUUAAGAUGUUUCGUUUUAGUUCAUUAUAUAAAUGCAUUUUCUACAUGGUUGAUUUCAGAUACACCAUUGACAAUGGCCAUGUCUUGAGACAUAUAGUUAAUAUACUAAGAUAUCAAAUUAAACUGUAAAAAUAUUUGCAAUGGGGCCGUCUAUUUGUUUUUCAAUGGUUAUAGCUUUCACAAACAGAUUAAAAUGGUUUCUGAUUGAAUUCAAAUGUUCAAGAGGUGAAGUUUUGUUUGACAAACAGAUUUACAGCUCAUGCAAUAAAAGGAUACGACAAAAAACUAGUCUGGUACCCACACAACAUACUUAUAUGGCUAAUUUGGAGAUUAUCGUUGAGCGAAAAAUAAAAUGUAGAUGGUGUAUAAGUUAUUAAUUAAAGACUCUAUGAUAUAAAAAAAAUACAGAUCAUACCUUGGAAGCAGUACGUAAACAAAACAAAAUAUCUAUGAAUAUGAUAUAUCUCCCCAAAAGAGGCGUGGUUUGUCAAACAGCUGUAUAAAUUUACAGGUGAAAUCUUUAGAUAGAAGAUAAAAUAUCGACACAUUGUAGAUGUCUACGGACUGUUUUUUUUAUUGGUAUGUCAUAUUUGUAUUUUGAAGAAAACUAAGUCUUACAAAAAUGUUUUGCCUUGAGACAGAAAAUAAAUAUCUUGAUAUUUUGUUGAUGUUUAAGAGUUUGCUGAAUGUAUCAAUUUGUAUGUUGAAAUAAAAUACUGUAUAAAUAGAAAACGACAGGAAAUUAUCAUUGUUAUUCUAUGUAUUUGAAGAUAUUUAUAAUGGUUAAAAAUUGUCUCGUAUAUUUAUAUUCAUAUGUUUUUGUUUAUUUUCUCACUCAACCAAGAACUGUAUUUCCUGAGAAGUGUACAUGUACGGUGAAUCAGAUCUUUAAGAAAUGUAAGUGUAUUUUAACAUAUAAAUGGAUGUUUUGAACGUUUAUUUUCGCGCAUGAUGAAAAUGAGACGACUUUAUUAUUUUACAGGUGUUCCGUUUCAAAAAGGCACGUACAUGAUAUUAAAUAUAAACUCAGUUAUCUAUUCUAUUCAAUCUGUACAAAAAGUCGUACAUGGUAAGAUAUAUCGAGUUGUUAUCAAUGUGUAUAAGUUAUACUAUGCCCUUGACUUAAUCCCUUUUACCGGUUAACAUGUAAGAAAAAUGAUUGAUUGCUGGUUUGAUGGUUGCUAAACGUCCAGCGGCAAAUAUAUAAUGCAUAUUAGGGAUAAGAAAGAAUUAGAUAUACAUACAAUAGGCAUGUAUUAAAGAAGAGCCCGUCUGGGAUGAAGGUAGAUAAAUAUGAACUUGCACUGUAAAAUGAGGGUAUUUUGAACGGGAACCACAUUUAACCUUGCAAAAGGUCAAAUACGGACUCGUCAUAGGUAUUUUGCAAGUAUUUAUGACGUACAAAGAACGUGAUAUUUUCUAUACACUUUUCAUCGGUUUUCAUGUCUCCGUUCUGAGCGGAAUUGGCUGCGAAAAUGAAGAUCCCGCACGGCGAACUGACGCUCCACUUAACCAAGGAUUUACUGCCGGUCGAGAGAAAAAACAGUAAUGAUUGAUAUCUAUUACCAUGUCAUCCUAGGGGGUAUGAGCAAAUAGUAAUCCCUACGUUACAGCUGAAACUUUUAUAAUAUUCAUUAUGUCUUGAGACAAUGGAAAGAUGUCUUUGAGACAUGGCAAAAUGUCUUGAGACAAAAUGUCUUGAGACAUAGCAAAUGUCUUGAGACAUAGCAAAUGUCUUGAGACAUAGCAAAAUGUCUUGAGACAUGGAAUGUCUUAAGAUGUUUCGUUAGUUCAUUAUAUAAAUGCAAUUUUCUACAUUGGUUGAUUUCAGAUACACAUUGACAAUGGCCAUGUCCUUGAGACAUAUAAGUUAAUAUACUAAGAUAAUCCAAUUAAACUGUAAAUAUAUUUGCAAUGGGGCCGUCUAUUUGUUUUUCAAAGGUAAUAGCAUUCACAAACAUAUUAAAAUGGUUUCUGAUUGAAUUCAAAUGUUCAAGAGGUGAAGUUUUGUUUGACAAACAGAUUUACAGCUCAUGCAAUAAAGAGAUACGAAAAAAAAGUCUGGUACCCACACAACAUACUUAUAUGGCUAAUUUGGAGAUUAUCAUUGAGCGAAAAAAAAAAUGAAGAUGGUGUAUAAAGUAUUAAUUAAAGACUCUAUGACAUAAAAAAAUACAGAUCAUACCUUGGAAGCAGUACGUAAACAAAACAAAAUAUCUAUGAAUUUGAUAUAUCUCCCCAUUAGAGGCGUGGUUUGUCAAACAGCUGUAUUUACAGGUUCAAUCUUUAGAUAGAAGAUAAAAUAUCGAUACAUUGUAGAUGUCUACGGACUGUUUUUUAUUGGUAUGUCAUAUUUGUAUUUUGAAGAAAACUAAGUCUUACAAAAAUGUUUUGACUUGAGACAGAACAUAAAUAUCUUGAGACUUUGUUGAUAUUUAAGAGUUUUGCUGAAUUGAUAUCAAUUUGUAUGUUGAAAUAAAAUACUAUAUAAAUAGAAAAAGACAGGAAAUUAUCAUUAUUAUUCUAUUUAUUUUGAAGAUAUUUAUAAUGGUUAAAAUUGUCUCGUAUAUUUAUAUUCAUAUGUUUUUGUUAUUUUCUCAUUCCAGCCAAGCACUUAUUUGCUGAAAGUGUACAUGUACGGUGAAUCAGAUCUUUAAGAAAUGUAAGUGUAUUUUAACAUAUAAUGGAUGUUUUGAUCGUUCAUUUUUGCGCAUGAUGAAAAUGAGACGACUUUAUUAUUUUACAGGUGUUCCGUUUCAAAAAGGCACGUACAUGAUAUUAAAUAUAAACUCAGUUAUCUAUUCUAUUCAAUCUGUACAAAAAGUCGUACAUGGUAAGAUAUAUCGAGUUGUUAUCAAUGUGUAUAAGUUAUACUAUGCCCUUGACUUAAUCCCUUUUACCGGUUAACAUGUAAGAAAAAUGAUUGAUUGCUGGUUUGAUGGUUGCUAAACGUCCAGCGGCAAAUAUAUAAUGCAUAUUAGGGAUAAGAAAGAAUUAGAUAUACAUACAAUAGGCAUGUAUAAAGAAGAGCCCGUCUGGGAUGAAGGUAGAAAAAUUUGAACUUGCACUGUAAAAUGAGGGUAUAUUGGAACGGGAACCACAUUUAACCUUGCAAAAGGUCAAAUACGGACCGUCAUAGGUAUUUUGCAAGUAUUUAUGACGUACAAAGAACGUGAUAUUCUCUAUACACUUUUCAUCGGUUUUCAUGUCUCCGUUCUGAGCGGUUGGCUGCGAAAAUGAAGAUCCCGCACGGCGAACUGACGUCCACUUAACCAAAGAUUUACUGCCGGUCGAGAGAAAAACAGUAAUGAUUGAUAUGUAUUACCAUGUCAUCCUAGGGGUUAUGAGCAAAUUAGUAUCCCUACGUUACAGCUGAACUUUUAUAAUAUUCAUUAUGUCUUGAGACAUGGAAAGAUGUCUUGAGACAUGGCAAAAUGUCUUGAGACAUGGGGCAAAAUGUCUUGAGACAUAGCAAAAUGUCUUGAGACAUAGCAAAAUGUCUUGAGACAUGGAAAAAUGUCUUAAGAUGUUUCGUUUUAGUUCAUUAUAUAAAUGCAAUUUUCUACAUUGUUGAUUUCAGAUACACCAUUGACAAUGGCCAUGUCUUGAGACAUAUAGUUAAUAUACUAAGAUAUCAAAUUAAACUGUAAAUAUAUUUGCAAUGGGGCCGUCUAUUUGUUUUUCAAAGGUAAUAGCAUUCACAAACAUAUUAAAAUGGUUUCUGAUUGAAUUCAAAUGUUCAAGAGGUGAAGUUUUGUUUGACAAACAGAUUUACAGCUCAUGCAAUAAAGAGAUACGAAAAAAAAGUCUGGUACCCACACAACAUACUUAUAUGGCUAAUUUGGAGAUUAUCAUUGAGCGAAAAAAAAAAUGAAGAUGGUGUAUAAAGUAUUAAUUAAAGACUCUAUGACAUAAAAAAAUACAGAUCAUACCUUGGAAACAGUACGUUAACAAAACAAAAUAUCUAUGAAUUUGAUAUAUCUCCCGAAAAAGAGGUGGUUUUGUCAACAGUUGUAUUUACAGGUUCAAUCUUAGAUAGAGAGAUAAAAUAUCGAUACAUUGAAGAUGUCUACGGACUGUUUUUUAUUGGUAUGUCAUAUUUGUAUUUUGAAGAAAACUAAGUCUUACAAAAAUGUUUUGACUUGAGACAGAACAUAAAUAUCUUGAGACUUUGUUGAUAUUUAAGAGUUUUGCUGAAUUGAUAUCAAUUUGUAUGUUGAAAUAAAAUACUAUAUAAAUAGAAAAAGACAGGAAAUUAUCAUUAUUAUUCUAUUUAUUUGAAGAUAUUUAUAAUGGUUAAAAAUUGUCUCGUAUAUUUAUAUUCAUAUGUUUUUGUUUAUUUUCUCAUUCACAGCCAAGCACUGUAUUUGCUGAGAAGUGUACAUGUACGGUGAAUCAGAUCUUUAAGAAAUGUAAGUGUAUUUUAACAUAUAAUGGAUGUUUUGAUCGUUCAUUUUUGCGCAUGAUGAAAAUGAGACGACUUUAUUAUUUUACAGGUGUUCCGUUUCAAAAAGGCACGUACAUGAUAUUAAAUAUAAACUCAG
Molecule: long non-coding RNA, 9980 nt
Filed under: Mytilus galloprovincialis (Mediterranean mussel)
Lineage: Eukaryota; Metazoa; Mollusca; Bivalvia; Mytilida; Mytilidae
Source: RNAcentral